This 381-nucleotide ribosomal RNA is filed under the name uncultured eukaryote. RNAcentral's name for it is "SSU rRNA". It matches the Rfam family "Eukaryotic small subunit ribosomal RNA", at positions 587 to 972 of the family's 1831-position model. The record is from RNAcentral.
AGCUCCAAUAGCGUAUAUUAAAGUUGUUGCAGUUAAAAAGCUCGUAGUUGGAUUUCUGGCUGGGCAUGUGGGUCCACUCUUUGAGUUGAUACCAUAUAUGUCUGGCCACCCUUUGGAAGAGCCACAGUGGCAUUAAGUUGUAGAUGUGGGGAUCUCAAUCCUUUACUGUGAAGAACUUAGAGUGUUCAAAGCAGGCUUACGCUGUUGAAUAUAUUAGCAUUGACUAAUGAUAUAGGACUAUUGUACUAUUUUUUUGGUUUGCAAGUAAUAGUAAUGAUUAAUAGAGGCAGUUGGGGGUAUUUGUAUUCCAUUUUCAGAGGUGAAAUUCUUGGAUUUUUGGAGGACAAACUACUGCGAAAGCAUUUACCAAAGAUAUUUUCA